Molecule: transfer RNA, 82 nt
Filed under: Serinibacter arcticus
Lineage: Bacteria; Bacillati; Actinomycetota; Actinomycetes; Micrococcales; Beutenbergiaceae
Rfam family: tRNA
About the family: Transfer RNA (tRNA) molecules are approximately 80 nucleotides in length. Their secondary structure includes four short double-helical elements and three loops (D, anti-codon, and T loops).
Source: Rfam by way of RNAcentral
GGCAGGUUGCCCGAGCGGCCAAAGGGAGCUGACUGUAAAUCAGCCGCGUCAUGCUACGAGGGUUCGAAUCCCCCACCUGCCA